GUUAAAAAUAAUACAAUUUUAAAUGAUUAAAAAAAUAAUUAGUAAUUAUUAAAGUUUAUAUUUCGUAGAAACUCUCAUUUAAUAAGUCAAUUAGUCAAACAUCUCUUACCUAACCGUCUAAUGGUUAAAAAUAAAAAAGAAAAUCAAGAGUACCAUUUUCUUCUCCUCUCGUGUUUUCUUCUUCUUCUCUUCCUAGUUCCUAUGCUUAGAUGCUACUCUUUCUCAUUGUUUCUUUCAUUCUUGUUCUACUUCUUUGAAACCCCUCUUUUUGUGACCCAGAUUACAUCUCUUAGUGAUUUGGAUGCAAACAUUCUACGAAUUGGAAUGUGUGACCUAGAUCGUGGAACCCAUGGGGGUGAGCUAAUCUAGUAACUAUGUUCAUAAUUAUUGUUUAGUCCCCACUUCUUUAAUUUGAAACAGUUUAGAUACUGCUUGGGAUUAAGGCUUAGCUGUUGU
This 456-nucleotide unclassified non-coding RNA is filed under the name Hevea brasiliensis (rubber tree). The record is from RNAcentral. Lineage: Eukaryota; Viridiplantae; Streptophyta; Magnoliopsida; Malpighiales; Euphorbiaceae.